This 491-nucleotide ribosomal RNA is filed under the name uncultured bacterium. Its description in RNAcentral is "partial 16S ribosomal RNA". It matches the Rfam family "Bacterial small subunit ribosomal RNA", at positions 29 to 506 of the family's 1533-position model. The record is from RNAcentral.
AGUGAACGCUGGCGGUAGGCCUAACACAUGCAAGUCGAACGGCAGCACAGUAAGAGCUUGCUCUUACGGGUGGCGAGUGGCGGACGGGUGAGGAAUACAUCGGAAUCUACUUUUUCGUGGGGGAUAACGUAGGGAAACUUACGCUAAUACCGCAUACGACCUACGGGUGAAAGCAGGGGAUAUUCGGACCUUGCGCGAUUGAAUGAGCCGAUGUCGGAUUAGCUAGUUGGCGGGGUAAAGGCCCACCAAGGCGACGAUCCGUAGCUGGUCUGAGCGGAUGAUCGGCCACACUGGAACUGAGACACGGUCCAGACUCCUACGGGAGGCAGCAGUGGGGAAUAUUGGACAAUGGGCGCAAGCCUGAUCCAGCCAUACCGCGUGGGUGAAGAAGGCCUUCGGGUUGUAAAGCCCUUUUGUUGGGAAAGAAAAGCAGCAGGUUAAUACCCCGCUGUUCUGACGGUACCCAAAGAAUAAGCACCGGCUAACUUCGU